This 430-nucleotide ribosomal RNA is filed under the name Carapoia mirim. RNAcentral's name for it is "partial 16S ribosomal RNA". It matches the Rfam family "Archaeal large subunit ribosomal RNA", at positions 1922 to 2666 of the family's 2987-position model. Lineage: Eukaryota; Metazoa; Arthropoda; Arachnida; Araneae; Pholcidae. The record is from RNAcentral.
UCUUUAAGUAAAAUAAUUUAAAGUAAAACCUGCUCAAUGUUUUAAUCAAUAGCCGCAAAUAUUUUGUGCUAAGGUAGCAUAAUCAUUAGCUUUUUAAUUAAAAGAUAGAAUGAAUGGUAAUAUGAAAUAUUAGCUAUUUCUAAAAUAUACAAUAAAUUUUUUAUAAAAGUAAAAACACUUUUAUUUUUCAGAAAGACGAUAAGACCCUAAUAAACUUCCUAUUUUGCUGGGGUGGCAAAUAAAAUAUCCCUUAACUCACAAAAACAAAUACACUAACACAAUAAAAAAAAUAAAAGUUACUAUAGGGAUAACAGCGCUAUCUUUUUCAAAAGUUCAAAUUAAAAAAAAGAUUUACGACCUCGAUGUUGAAUUAAUAUUCUUUGCUAGAGCAACCACUACAAAAGAUAGUCUGUUCGACUAUUAAAAAAUU